Molecule: ribosomal RNA, 546 nt
Filed under: uncultured archaeon
Lineage: Archaea
Description: bacterial SSU rRNA
Rfam family: Archaeal small subunit ribosomal RNA
Source: RNAcentral
CGGGGUGCAGCAGGCGCGAAAACUCUACAAUGCCGGCAACGGCGAUAAGGGAACCUCGAGUGCCAGGUUACAAAUCUGGCUGUCGUGAUGCCUAAAAAGCAUUGCAUAGCAAGGGCCGGGCAAGACCGGUGCCAGCCGCCGCGGUAACACCGGCGGCUCGAGUGGUAACCGUUAUUAUUGGGUCUAAAGGGUCUGUAGCCGGCCGGAUAAGUCUCUUGGGAAAUCUGGCAGCUUAACUGUCAGGCUUUCAGGAGAUACUGUCUGGCUCGAGGCCGGGAGAGGUGAGAGGUACUUCAGGGGUAGGGGUGAAAUCUUGUAAUCCUUGAAGGACCACCAGUGGCGAAGGCGUCUCACCAGAACGGACCUGACGGCAAGGGACGAAAGCUAGGGGCACGAACCGGAUUAGAUACCCGGGUAGUCCUAGCCGUAAACGAUACUCGCUAGGUGUCGGCCACGGUGCGACCGUGGUCGGUGCCGUAGGGAAGCCGUGAAGCGAGCCACCUGGGAAGUACGGCCGCAAGGCUGAAACUUAAAGGAAUUGGCGGG